RNAcentral lists this ribosomal RNA (1316 nucleotides) under metagenome. RNAcentral describes it as "bacterial SSU rRNA". It matches the Rfam family "Bacterial small subunit ribosomal RNA", at positions 161 to 1498 of the family's 1533-position model. The record is from RNAcentral.
GGAUAAUGUCAGAUUGUCAUGGGGGGUCACAAGACAUUCCCAUGUAAAGCUCCGGCGCCUCAAGAAGAGCCUACGUCCUAUCAGCUUGUUGGUGAGGUAAUAGCUCACCAAGGCUAUGACGGGUAGCUGGUUUGAGAAGACGACCAGUCACAUCGGAACUGAAACACUGUCCGGACUCCUACGGGAGGCUGCAGUCAAGAAUCUUCCGCAAUGGGGGAAACCCUGACGGAGCGACGCCGCGUGAUCGAUGAAGUCCUUCGGGAUGUAAAGAUCUUUUAUAUUGGAAAAAGCCCUCUUUUUGAGGGUUGAUGGUACAAUAUGAAUAAGCCAUGGCUAACCUCGUGCCAGCAGCCGCGGUAAUACGAGGAUGGCAAGCGUUACCCGGAAUUAUUGGGCGUAAAGCGUCCGCAGGCGGUCUUACAAGUCGGUUGUUAAAUCUUAGGGCUCAACCUUAAGACCGCGAUCGAAACUGUAAGACUUGAGAUAAUGAGAGGUGAAUGGAAUUCUCGGUGUAGCAGUAAAAUGCGUUAAUAUCGAGAGGAACACCAAUAGCGAAGGCAGUUCACUAGCAUUAUUCUGACGCUCAUGGACGAAAGCGUGGGUAGCGAAGGGGAUUAGAUACCCCCGUAGUCCACGCCGUAAACGCUGGAUACUAGGCAUAAAGGGAAUCGACCCCCAUUGUGCCGAAGCUAACGCGUUAAGUAUCCCGCCUGGGCAGUACGGUCGCAAGACUAAAACUUAAAGGAAUAGACGGGGACCCGCACAAGCGGUGGAGCGUGUGGUUUAAUUCGUCAUUAAGCGAAGAACCUUACCGAGGUUUGAAGCCAAAGGAAUCCGCCCGAAAGGGAUGGAGUGCCGCAAGGAACCUUUGGAUCAGGUGCUGCAUGGCCGUCGUCAGCUCGUGCCGUGAGGUGUACGGUUAAGUCCGGUAACGAGCGCAACCCUUGUUCUGUGUUACAUUCACACAGAAGACUGCCGGCGUAUAGUCGGAGGAAGGUGGGGAUGACGUCAGGUCAGCAUGGCCCUUUGACACCUCGGGCGACACACGUGCUACAAUGGCUAGCUACAAUGGGACGCCAAGCCGAGAGGCGGAGCUAAUCCUAUAAAACUAGUCUCAGUUCGGAUUGAAGGCUGAAACUCGCCUUCAUGAAGCUGGAAUCGCUAGUAAACGCAGGUCAGCCACACUGCGUUGAAUACGUUCUCGGGUCUUGUACUCACCGCCCGUCACGUCAAGCGAGUUGGUAACACCCGAAACUCUUGUCUUUUGAUGAGAACUAAGGUGGGACCAGCGAGAGGGGCGAAGUCGUAACAAGGCA